Acanthochromis polyacanthus (spiny chromis) is the source of this 280-nucleotide long non-coding RNA. RefSeq lists it as uncharacterized. The transcript has 3 exons. The record is from RefSeq and is a predicted model, not a curated record. Lineage: Eukaryota; Metazoa; Chordata; Actinopteri; Pomacentridae.
GUAGCGUUGGAGGGUAAAUGUAGCGUUGGAGGGUAAAUGUAGCAUUAGAGGGUAAAUGUAGCGUUAGAGGAUAAAUGUAGCGUUAGAGGGUAAAUGUAGCGUUAGAGGGUAAAUGUAGCGUUAGAGGGUAAAUGUAGCGUUAGAGGGUAAAUGUAGCGUUAGAGGGUAAAUGUAGCGUUAGAGGGUAAAUGUAGCGUUAGAGGGUAAAUGUAGCGUUAGAGGGUAAAUGUAGCGUUAGAGGGUAAAUGUAGCGUUAGAGGGUAAAUGUAGCAUUGGAGGG